CGUCUUGCAGAUCCUUACCACCAGCCUCAGAAAUCUCCCCUGGUUUCUUGUCAAACAAUCCCUUGAACUGUUGACGAGCUCGUUUAUGAAUUUCCUGCCACGUGCAUUGGUACAAAAACAAUCGACUGAUAAGAAACCUUGGUAUUUGUUUGUUCAACAUGAUUAUAAGCGUUCCACAAUCGAGGCAACAUUUAAUUUAUACUAACCUGCUCCUCCUUUUUCAGUUUAAGAAGAGCUGCGUUGGCGGUUGCUUCUGAUGAUUUGUCAACGCUCGUCAUCUAAAAG
RNAcentral lists this long non-coding RNA (285 nucleotides) under Salvia miltiorrhiza (redroot sage). RNAcentral describes it as "long non-coding RNA (SMIL_LNC004715)". The record is from RNAcentral. Lineage: Eukaryota; Viridiplantae; Streptophyta; Magnoliopsida; Lamiales; Lamiaceae.